This 93-nucleotide non-coding RNA is filed under the name Actinosynnema mirum. RNAcentral describes it as "Glycine sequence". It matches the Rfam family "Glycine riboswitch aptamer". Rfam says of the family: This family represents the bacterial glycine riboswitch. Glycine riboswitches usually consist of two metabolite-binding aptamers domains with similar structures in tandem. The aptamers cooperatively bind glycine to regulate the expression of downstream genes. Lineage: Bacteria; Bacillati; Actinomycetota; Actinomycetes; Pseudonocardiales; Pseudonocardiaceae. The record is from RNAcentral. RNAcentral also lists the same sequence under 1 other name.
GGAUCACCGGCGGGAGAGUCCUCGGGAACAACCGGGGCGCCGAAGGAGCAAGUACCCCGCACACUCUCAGGCAACGGGAACCGCCGGGGUGAG